ACAUCCAUGGUUGAAUGAUUAAGGCACCAAACUCAUAAUUGGUGAAAUCAUGGGUUCAAUUCCUACUUGAUGCA
Molecule: non-coding RNA, 74 nt
Organism: Picea glauca (white spruce)
Lineage: Eukaryota; Viridiplantae; Streptophyta; Pinopsida; Pinales; Pinaceae
Source: Rfam